This 442-nucleotide ribosomal RNA is filed under the name uncultured bacterium. RNAcentral's name for it is "bacterial SSU rRNA". It matches the Rfam family "Bacterial small subunit ribosomal RNA", at positions 19 to 507 of the family's 1533-position model. The record is from RNAcentral.
AUGGCUCAGAACGAACGCUGGCGGCAUGCCUAACACAUGCAAGUCGAACGAGACCUUCGGGUCUAGUGGCGCACGGGUGCGUAACGCUGGGAAUCUGCCCUUUGCUUCGGAAUAACAGUUAGAAAUGACUGCUAAUACCGGAUGAUGUCUUCGGACCAAAGAUUUAUCGGCAAAGGAUGAGCCCGCGUAGGAUUAGGUAGUUGGUGGGGUAAAAGGCCUACCAAGCCGACGAUCCUUAGCUGGUCUGAGAGGAUGAUCAGCCACACUGGGACUGAGACACGGCCCAGACUCCUACGGGAGGCAGCAGUGGGGAAUAUUGGACAAUGGGCGCAAGCCUGAUCCAGCAAUGCCGCGUGAGUGAUGAAGGCCUUCGGGUCGUAAAGCUCUUUUACCAGGGAUGAUAAUGACAGUACCUGGAGAAUAAGCUCCGGCUAACUCCGUG